GCCUCUCACAAUGCGUCAUGGUCGAAAACCCACCCUUUCCUUUCGUUGCUACGGACUACAGAGGUACGUGGUUUCAGCUUUGUUGCUUAGUUGUGUGAUGUUAGCGUUGUCCAUUUACCAUGCGAUUUACUUGUUUAGUGUGACGCUGGGCUAUCGAGACUGUGUGCAGGUGUGAUGUGCUGCCCAAUCUCAGUGCGCUGUGCCGUCAAGGCUCCCAACUGUGUAGCAUGCUAGUUUAACGUAGCUCCGGUCGGAGCUCCAGCUGUCGUCGUCACAACUAUUAAAGACGCUAUCAUGACUUUCGUAUGUACCAUCGUGAGUAUCAUGUCAUCGGAUCACGGUUAAAAUGUUAGCCAAUCAAUGGGAAAGGCGAGAGGUCAGGGGAGGAGGCAAAUCCUGCGUAAGGAAAAGUCACGCUCUCUUUCGGCUGCAGGCGAGACACGGAGAAGAUCACACUGGAGAACUGUAAAGUGAUUAAUGCUACUUUUCGUGCUUAAGUAAUACUUAAUGGUUUUCAGACCGAUAACCUAUUCACUACUUUGCAUGCGGAAGAAGUUGGUAUCACAUAGAGACAUUUUCAAAAUGAAUUUGUCGGAAUAGCUCAGCUAAUAGUAUUGCCUGAAAAGUUAGCAACUCGGUAGCUGGGACUGUGUUAGGCUAACUGACUUCGUCAACCAAUGAGUUGCCUCUGAGGAACAAGACUGUGGGACUAACCGGAGGAAGACGGCCUGCUGUUUGAACUGAUACGCGAACUACAGCAUCGCGUGAGCAACUGCACACACCGAGAGCGCACGAGCAGGGCUGCAGUGACGGUGCAUGGACCCUCUCUGGGCACGGACAUCCCCAUCAACCUUGUGAGUGAAUUUGUUUGGUUUUGUUGUGCGAUUCGCAUGAAGUGGCCAAUACAGUUUUAAGGCCUCAACGUCCCCAAGCUAUGAAGCCUCAUACAAUACC
Long non-coding RNA from Ictalurus punctatus (channel catfish), 954 nucleotides. The record is from Ensembl. Lineage: Eukaryota; Metazoa; Chordata; Actinopteri; Siluriformes; Ictaluridae.